This 245-nucleotide ribosomal RNA is filed under the name uncultured bacterium. RNAcentral's name for it is "partial small subunit ribosomal RNA". It matches the Rfam family "Bacterial small subunit ribosomal RNA", at positions 26 to 285 of the family's 1533-position model. The record is from RNAcentral.
AGAAUCAACGCUGGCGGCGUGCCUAACACAUGCAAGUCGCACGAGAAAGGGGAGCAAUCCCUGAGUACAGUGGCGCACGGGUGAGUAACACGUGAAUUAUCUACCUCCGAGUGGGGAAUAACUGAGAGAAAUCUUAGCUAAUACCGCAUAACACUUACGAGUCAAAGCAGCAAUGCGCUUGGAGAGGAGUUCGCGGCCGAUUAGUUAGUUGGCGGGGUAAUGGCCCACCAAGACGAUGAUCUGUA